AUUUUAUAAUAGCACUUUACUAAAUAAAAAUUUUUCUAAAAUUUAUGAUCUGAUUUGGAAAUAAAUUUAUGCGUAAGAGAUACUUCAGAAUUCAUAUACUUGUGAAUAAAAUGUCUACAACCUGAACCCCGAAAAAACAACAAAACCUUAUUAAAAUUCUUACCAUUAAAUUUAUGAAUAGGAUUUAGAUUGAAGAGUGUGCAUUGCACUGAGCGUGUGUAGUAGAGACUAGAGAGAGCUUCCAUCAUUCUUGUUUCCAUUACCAUCAACGAGGCAAUGGCUGACACUGCUGCAGAUUCCCUCUCCGACUUCCUCGCAUCUGCCGUCGACGCUGCUCGCAAAGCCGGCGAGAUUAUUCGGAAAGGAUUCUAUCAGACCAAACACGUCGAGCACAAAGGACAGGUUGAUUUGGUCACGGAAACUGAUAAAGCAUGUGAAGAUCUCAUAUUCAAUCAUCUUAAGAACCUUUACCCCACUCAUAAGUUCAUAGGGGAGGAAACCACAGCUGCAUGUGGCACUACCGAACUUACAGAUGAACCCACAUGGAUAGUUGAUCCUUUGGAUGGAACUACGAACUUUGUUCAUGGGUUUCCUUUUGUUUGUGUCUCCAUUGGUCUUACAAUUGGAAAAGUUCCUACUGUAGGUGUUGUUUACAAUCCGAUUAUUGAUGAGCUUUUCACUGGAGUCCAUGGGAAAGGUGCCUUUUUGAAUGGGAAGCCCAUAAAAGUAUCAACAAAAACUGAUCUAAUAAGCUCUCUUCUUGCAACUGAGGCUGGAACAAAACGUGACAAAGUAACAUUAGACGCCUCUACCAAAAGGAUUAAUAGCUUGCUUUCCAAGGUGAGAUCUCUUCGAAUGAGUGGCUCAUGUGCUCUGAAUCUUUGUGGAAUUGCAUGUGGAAGGCUGGAUGUAUUCUAUGAAACUGGCUUUGGUGGUCCUUGGGAUGUGGCAGGUGGUGCUGUCAUUGUUACAGAAGCUGGAGGUGUUGUAUUUGAUCCGUAAGUGACUUUGCUUAGAUAUCCUUAUUCUUAACGAAUGGAAAACCUACCAAGUUCUAGAUGGUCUAAGAACCGUUAGUUCUGGUGCAGAAUUUGAUGUAACAGCUCAGCGGGUAGCAGCUUCAAACCCUUCCUUGAAGGAUGCAUUUGUUGAAGCACUGCGCCAAACAGAGUGAGACAUUUACCAUUUAGUCAAAGGACGAGGAGAAAAUGCCAUCCAUCCGUAUAAAUAAAUCCUUGUUCCUUGUUUAGUUCAUCACUUUUUGCAAAAAUAAUUCUUAGUGGGGAUGACUCAAUUUUCUAAUUGCUUUUGUAGCUUUACCAAAAUUAUAAUAUACUAUUAUACUCUGCAUCUUUAGAAAUACAACUCCUCUGUCUCGUGUAUUCAACCAAUGAAAGUUUAGCACGUAAGACAAGUGCACCAUUGGUAUAAAAACAAAGACAAAUGUCAGGAAAAAUUGCUAUGCAUUGCCUUGAGAUA
This is a non-coding RNA of Arachis ipaensis, 1479 nucleotides long. Lineage: Eukaryota; Viridiplantae; Streptophyta; Magnoliopsida; Fabales; Fabaceae. The record is from RefSeq and is a predicted model, not a curated record.